Molecule: long non-coding RNA, 640 nt
Filed under: Mytilus galloprovincialis (Mediterranean mussel)
Lineage: Eukaryota; Metazoa; Mollusca; Bivalvia; Mytilida; Mytilidae
Source: RNAcentral
AUGAUGAUAUCCAUUCUAAUAUGACGUGCUUCUUUCGCUUUGUAAACAACACCGUGAUAAAAUUCUCGAUAUAUCUAUACUUAGCGCAGACUCCAAGAUGUACACAAAUGGCUGUUUAAAUAUGCCUCCCACGUAAAUCCACAUGUAUCGUAACCUAUGUGUAAACGGUUGUGGAUUUCGCUGUGUUAACAAUUACAAUUGAAUAAAACCCUACAGAACAUUUCUUCUGUUUCUGAUGCAUAACAAAAAGAAUUUACACAUUAGAGAACGGAAAAAUGGACAAAAACAAAGUAAAUUAAAAUUCCGCGAAAUUCCAGUAAUGAUUUUUGCGCAUUAACGUCAUUUCAAAACAUGACAUCAUACGAAUGAAAACGUCAAAGCUGAAGGUUUUUCUAUUGCGUUUACCUUCUAAACUCGGAUACAAUUGCAUUAAAAUAAAGUAUUCAGGUAGGUGUUGCUUGUUUUCUGUUCUAUUGCAUUAUUCUCACAUUUACUGAUUUCAGCAAGUCAACAUGGCGGCUCCUUGGUUACAACAUGUCAACAGUGAAUUUGACGGUAGCUUACGAUAAAAAAUGCAAAUCUAAAAUUGCAAAUGUUGGGUUUACUGAGAAGUAAAAAAAGUAAUCACAUUUUUUUUUCU